This is a long non-coding RNA of Stylophora pistillata, 2045 nucleotides long. RefSeq lists it as uncharacterized. Lineage: Eukaryota; Metazoa; Cnidaria; Anthozoa; Scleractinia; Pocilloporidae. The record is from RefSeq and is a predicted model, not a curated record.
GCAACGAAACAAUGUUGCCCGCCAAGUUGAGGGUUUUUGUAUCUCGUAUUUCGCCGUAACUAUCAGCUGCUGGUACACCUCAUGACACAUACACACCCAUGUAGCAUCAUUCCAUAAUAUGGUGGAUAAUAAUAUUACACCACCUUUCGCCGUUCGCGAAAAUGAAUUAAGCGAGAGGAAUUAAAGAAGAGACCGGUACAAUUUUUCCCAGUUUGUGCCAAAGAAGAUUAGACGUAGGGGAUCAAAGAAGACAUCUGAUUGAAGUACUACGGUCACCACCUCGACUGGUCAAGAUGAUAACUUUCGAAAAUCCUUCUUAGCAGGCGUUGCAAACUAGACCAAUUUUAGAUGCUUUGCUGGAUGUUUCUGAUGAUGAAAUCAUAGCAGAUGGUGAAUUACAUUCUGCUUCAUCCACUGAUCCAUGCUCUCUGACAGACCUUGUGCCUGUUACCUCACAGUUUGCAUACAUGUUAGAGCUGUUGAAUGGCAAUGUUUUUACCAUCAUUGGCAGCAAGAUUUCUUUGUUCACUUUUUCCAAUUUUGAUGCAGUUACAAAGAGAUUGCUUGAAGCCAAUUAUGUGAUUGCUGAAAGAGAACCUAGGGAUAACAUUUGGAUCUAUCAUUGUAAAUGUGUUGAAGGCACAAGGCAAAUUGAUUAUUUGUGGUCACUGUCAUCAACAGUCACGGGAGAUACGUCACAACUGUAAGCAUGUAACAAAAGUAGCAGAAUCUGAGGAAACAAUGGUACACGAAAUACCUGAUUUUCUGGUCGAUUUUUUUGCUGAGAGAAAUUUUCGAGAGUCUACUGAAUCAGUUGCAGCAGCCACCACUCGCCUACAACCUCUCCCGUGAUCCUCAGUGGGGCACCUUCAACAGUCAGGCAGCAGAACAACCCAAUUCAUACGUGAAGUCUCUCAAAGGAUCCUUGUCAUACAUGAACGAAAAGAACUUCAUGACUCAUUGUAAAUUUUUCAUUUGGUACCGAAAUUCGAUAGGGCGUAAGCAGCUCGAGUCCCAAAGGUGUAGCAAUGUAAUUUGCGAUAAGUUUUAUAGCUAAAUUUGAGGAACUUUUCUUUUACAAAGAACAAAAAAUCACGAGAUGUUACUAAAAAGUAAGUCCUUAUGUGAAAAUUCGAGAGAAAUAGUUGCAUUUGAUUUCUAGAAACUUUGACUUAAUGUCUUCAAUAUCAACUUCUUUUGAGUAUUAUUCGCCUUGUCUAAAAUAGUAUCAAGAAUAUACCCGAUUCUGCAUUUGCAGUGUUUGCCAAUACUGCUGCGCGCCAUGUAUAAAAGUAGCUCCAUGACUCAGACAAACGUUUUGAGUUGAGCGCCUCGAUUGACAGUGAUUUGACAAAAAUAAAAUGUAGGGUGUAAUACCUUCCAGGAAAAUUUCAGUUUUUUUGUGUGGUCAGGGAUUAUUUGUGACAUCACACGCGCUCUCCGCCAUUAUAAAAUGACAGCGAUCUCAAAAGUCUAAAGUCAUUUAAACUGUCAAGUUUGUAUCUCAACUAAAACCGGAUAAAUAAAUAAAAGAAACAAAGAAGAAACAAAAUAAAAGUCAUCGUGACCACAACCAAACGGUUUCCGCUAGUUUACGACUGCAGACACACUCAGAUGAGCUUCGAAUGAACAUAACUGUUGAUCUUUAGUAUCUAAACUAAAACAAACGGUUUUGGUGGCUAUCCAUUUUUAGUUAUUUUAAACUUUUAAUAACUGGAAUAAAUGAUAGAAAAGAACGCGGUGGUUAAAAUAAAACAGUUUUUGGUGGUUAUACAGUUCUAGUUGGUUGAAACCUUUAAUGACUAGAAUGAAUGAUAGAAAAGAACGCUGUGGUUAAAAUAAAACAGUUUUUGGUGGUUAUACAGUUUUAGUUGGUUGAAACCUUUAAUAACUAGAAUGAAUGAUAGAAAAGAACGCUGUGGUUAAAAUAAAACAGUUUUUGGUGGUUAUACAGUUUUAGUUGGUUGAAACCUUUAAUAACUAGAAUGAAUGAUAGAAAAGAACGCUGUGGUUAAAAUAAAACAGUUUUUGGUGGUUAUACAGUU